This 1041-nucleotide long non-coding RNA is filed under the name Mytilus galloprovincialis (Mediterranean mussel). The record is from RNAcentral. Lineage: Eukaryota; Metazoa; Mollusca; Bivalvia; Mytilida; Mytilidae.
GAAAGAUUUUAACUGAAUUAUUCAUUAAAAACGCUCUGAUUGAAGCUUAAAUAUUAAAAAUCUAUCAAAUAUGCCAAAAAACUUCACUUUUCAGAUGGUUUUUGUCCAAAAUGAAAGUAGCCGCAUCCAUGUUCAUCCUCAACCUUUAUAUAUGAUAUGCAUUAUCAUCAAAUACAACUUACAUUUCAAUAUUAUGAAUGAACACGAAUGCGGCCACUUUCAUUUAAGACAGAAACUGUCUAAAUUUUACUAAAAUGCUUAAAUUGUGAAGAUUUCAGUAAUUUAGCAUGACUUAAUGAUGCUAGUACACGAUAUAUGUGCAUUGUAUUGUAAAAAAAAGAUCAUAUUUAUGUAGCAGAAGCAUUCUACUUUCCAAUAAAUAGCUAAAAGAUUACAUUUUCACAAUUUUGUAAAACUGCCAUAUUUUGGGGCCAAAAAGGGGUCUUGCUGAACCUACUUCUUUUCAUAUAUCAUUUGACUUUUAAAAAAUGAAAAAAAGUGAAGUCGAACAGCAAAGGCUUACUUGCUAGUGUGUCCUUUUUCAGUCAGGUACUCUGCCAUUUCAAAAUUCUUAAUAGAACACUUUAACAUACUGUUACCUUAAAAGUCAAAUGUAUAUACCUUGUAAUAUAUAAAAAGGAUCUACCUUGAUCUAUAAUGGUUUACUUUUACAAAUUGUGACUUGGACAGAGAGUUGUCUCAUUGACACUCAUAACAAAUCUUCUUAUAUCUAUUUAUCAACAACAAAUUGAAAUUAAAUAUUUGUAAGGAAAUUAUUUAAUGUAUUUAAAGAUUUUCACAUAGCUGUUUGUAGUUAUUGUUACCUAUUUCAUGCACAGCAGGUACGAAAAAAAUGAAAUGGAAACAAUUGUUUUUGUACAGGGUAAUUGUAAAGGCAAAUAUUGUACUGAUAUUUUUGUAGAUGUAUACAGCUAUAGUUUAAAUAUUUUUUUGAAUUAAAUUAAGUUAGUGAAUUCAGAUACCAUCUUUGUUAAUUGUUAAUACAAAAAGAAAUAUUUAUUAGAACCAGUUGUAUUUGAA